Parus major (Great Tit) is the source of this 4664-nucleotide long non-coding RNA. RefSeq lists it as uncharacterized. NCBI's taxonomy places the organism in Eukaryota, Metazoa, Chordata, Aves, Passeriformes, Paridae. The transcript is spliced from 3 exons. The record is from RefSeq and is a predicted model, not a curated record.
CCUCAGCACAGUUUAGUCUCGUUAAUCUUUCCAAGGUCUCCUCUUUCCACUGUCUGUUUGCCCUUCCUUCUCCUGGGCCUUCACUGUCUGUUAUUCUCUCCUGCCAAGGUCACUCUUAUCUCUGUUCUUGUUCCAUUCUUUCUACCUCCCCUCUUCUUCUGUUAUCAUCUUUCAUGCAAAUGCCACUCACCUCCUCUGUUGUCUCUUGCUAACUCAUCCCUUUCCAGAACAGCUGAAAGACAGGAAAUGGGUUGAAAUAGGAAAAACAACAGCUAUCAAACCUGGCUACAGGACCAGUGUUUCUGCUGUCUCUCAUAAGUGGAAGUCUUUGCAAAGAGACUUUGCAUUUCUGCUCUGGGUGAAGACAUUAUGUUCUCACAUAAUGUCUCGGUUUGUAACAAGAAGUUUGGUACACGCUGGCUGUAGGAGCAAAGGAGAGGCAGAGCAGGAAGGGCUGUGAGGCUGUGUUCAGUUUGAACUGCAGAAAAUAGUACUUCCAACUGGGAAUAAGGGCAGUCCAUGGUAUCAGCUGCUCUAUUUCUGAUUCACAGCUCAGGAGGCCUCUGUUUUCCGCAGCCCCAUGUUCAGCAGGUAGUGUGGCACAUGCACUUCUGCAAAUACCAAAGCAGACAAAUGAUGUUCACUCACUGGCAGUGGUCUAGCUAUUGGUAUUCCAAAAUUAGGGAUUCAGCUCCAUCCCUGCAUGCUGAGUGCAACAGCUUAAAGCACUGUCGCCACCGCUGCUGCAUAGUUUGCUCUCAGUGCAUGAGUGACAUAGGGUGUCCUCUCACUGCCCCAGAAGCAGGACAAUAGUACAGGAUUUACAGAGCCUGAGGGAAUGAUUUGCUGGAGCAUACAGUGUUGGCCUGGUGCCACUACCAUGGAGGUCAGGGUCAAAUCGGCCAUUGGCUUAUGAAGCAGCUGGUACUAUUGAAAAAUGCCACCCUUGGGCUUUGUGAACUUGGGCUGUUUUCUCGAUCCCACAGUAGAACUGAAAACAUCUUUCAUCCACAGCACUGUUGAGAGAAUGGGCAGUAGCUAUCUAGACAAAUGUCUUUUUCUUCCUAAUAGCACUUGGAAAUUUGCCCUUAAACCAGACUCCAACACAAACUGACAAAAUCACAACCCUUUAAACAGGAACUUCUUCCCUACAUAAAUUGGUAUGCAAGUAGAAGGGAGAGGGCCUGGCAGUUGUCAGAACCCAUCUAAGACCACAUCCAAAACAUCAGCUGAACUUAGCUUCUUGCAAGAACCUAUCCUGUUUGGUGCUUUUUCUCCAUGUUUAAAUAAAUGCCCAGACUCAAGCAAAAAGUGACAAUAAAAAUCCUGGGAGACCUGCUAUGCACGACUGUCACAGUUUAAGCAUCACUGUUGUGCUUUUAGAUACAGACAUAUCCAGGCACUGCAGUGCCAACAAGUAGAAGGAACAUCUGAAAAUAACUUUAAAACUUAAGGCACACAAUGAAGUAAUGAAACAUGGAAGCAAAGAGCUAAAAAGACACCAAAAUGAAGCCUAAAGAGACUAGCCAACAUCAACAAACAAAAUUUGCUGCACACCCAGCCUUAACAGAAAGCAAGAAUUCCUUCUGAAUUCUUCUGAACAAAAUGUCUUCUGAACAAAAAGAUUAUAAGACUGAGAUUAUCAACUGCCUAAGAGUCUUGUCCCUUGGGUGGCACCAGCCAACAGGUCUAUGGUGAGAUGGCAAAAUGAAGUAAUACAUACUGUUAUCUCAGAGUACAUUACAUGGCUGAGGUGGAGAUGGUAUUUAUAUUGGCAUUCAAGUCAUGCUUUUUUCAAUAAAAAUGUAAUUCUGUGGCUCUAUAGUGAGGCUGUGGAGGUCCAGAGUCUAAGGUCAGGCCAUCAUAAAUGGGAAUUUACUCAUGCUCAGCUGACUUGGAUGUUGCCCUUUGAAUGGACACAUCAAUGAUAGGAGUUAAACUGCCUCACCCACUUCCACUUACCUCCUUCAUUUUUUAUGCCAUUUUGUCAAUGCAACCUGGAAGCAGAGAUGACAACUCAGACCUGCAAGAGUGAACUUUGGCUGCUAUGUGAAAUGUUUACCCUGCCUGCUGUGUAGUGUCACCCACCAGGCUGCAAAAUGAAUAUGAACUACAUGAUCUGAUGGUUCAGAUAACACUCACCUACAGACACAGAGCAAACUGUCGAACUCCAACUAGUGCCCCAUGAGCUGCAACACUGCUCAGGUGUAAUAUACCCCUCCAGCCAAAGAAAGGACACACACAGCUUUACGUCUCAAAUCCCACUGUGCUCAUGUACAGAAAAGGGGACGUAAGCAUGGCCUACAUACUGUUAAAUGGGAGUAGAGGGGGCUGUGCACAACAUAAGCUUUUUGCAGGUGCCUUUAGCAUGUCUCCAUGUACUAACUUAAACGAGGCUAUACUCUUUAAAGUUUACCCUGUUUCAGGCUAUGGCUCUAGAACAGUAGUCUCCUAGGAGUGCUGUUAGCAUUAAUACCUUGCACUGUCCUCAAUCUGUCCUUCAGAAGGCUGCCCGAUGCUCCCUGGAAAAUUUCCCAGUGGUUCAGCUGACAGUAGCAUUAAAAAUCACAGCAUGUGUCUGUAGUCUUUGUAUCAGACAUUCAGAGAUAGCACACUGCAGAGAUGCAAUUGUUGCAGCUAUGUGCUCUUAAAAGACUGCAUCUGUCCCAGGGAACGUCUUUUCCAGAGAUGACCAUCUCCAAGCAGACAGCUGCAGAUCUCAUCCAGUUUAUUCCCCUAGCAGCUAUAUAACUUCAGGUCUGCUGCAAAAUUCCCUACUCAAAUUUUGCCCUUAAUUUGAGGGUCAUCCAUGCACAAAACCUCUUAGAUCUUUCCAGUGGCACAUCAAAAUAAAGAUUAAUACUGUUAUUCAUGCGAGUCACUGCUACGAUAGCCUCCCUGGCACACUAGUUUCCCAGGAAUGCUGUUGAACAGAUACCUUGUGCUGUCCUCCUCAUCUUGUCCUUGAGAGUUCCUCCCAUUAUUCCUUGGAAAUUUUCCCAGAGUGGUUCAGUUUACAGCAGUGCAAGAAUCACAGCACGUGUCAGUAGAUGGUUUUAUAUCAGGUGCACUGGGAUACAAUGCAGCAGAGGCUUGAGUAUCACAAAGUUAGCUCUGUUAUAUUCCCCCCUUGGUUAUUAAAAAAAGAAAGGAGGAAAGGAAGGAAUAAAUAGUGAAGUAAGUCAACAAGAACCCACAAUCCAUUCCUUAAGUGGUAACCAGGCUACUGUGCUUUGGAACUUUUCCUGAUACAACAAAAGACACCAUGAAGACAGGAACUUUGGCAGCAGUGGUUUUGAACUCUACAACCCCCAACUUUCCUCUGUUUUUCUAUGCAUAUGUUACUGGAAAUAUAAUCAUCUGCUAGGGAAGCAGUCAACCCCCAAAUGGAUACCUAAGCAGCAGCAAGCCUCUGGAAGUUACUAUUGCUAGAAUAAAAAGGAGAUUUUCAGCAAAGCAGCCCUAAAUUCCUGAAUUAGCUGAUGCCCUCCUUUGCCUGGCCACUGUCACCAUAGUGACCACAGGAGCUGCCGCCGAGCCAGUGCCCUGCGGCUUGGGACGGACGCGAACGGGACACCGUGCUGGGAAUUUAGUGACUGACUCAGGGCCUGGUGAUGGGGAUGUGGGCUGUGGGAGCAGGCCCUGGGAGCAGCCUUGGGCGUAAUGUGCUGGGAAAAGUGGCUUACAGAGAAGAGGGCUGCAAUUCCUGCCCUGAAUACCAGCCUCGAAGGGCCAGCACUGCCAGAGCUGUUGCAAGGUUACCAGAGGAGUCAGAAGGUGAAGCAAAAAGAGUUGAUGAUGAGGAGCAUGAGGAAAGAAAGCAUUGACAGCAAUACAGCAAACACGGUUAAGCUGGAGCUGGAAUAAGCAGAUUCAUUCCCUUCGACAUCAUUUGUGUGGACUGCUCCCUCUCCUGGGGAAAACUUGAAAAAAAAAAAAGUAAAAAUCACAACCCAAAACAGUCUUCAAGCAAACAAUGCACCCCCAGAGUUCACAGGCAGACAGGCCCCGUGCUUCCAGGUUCAAGCUGGACACGGCAAGGUGCAAGACCCCUGUGCUGCCCUUCCCAAACUGGCUGUGUCCUGGAUACAGGAGCCCCCGGGGUGGUGAAGCCAGCUGUGACCUCUGGACAUGCACAGCUAAGCACUGCUCCAGCCUGCACAGACAACAGCAACACUGUCUUCUCUCUGCUUGGUGCUGCUUCCAAGCACCACCCAGACCAUCCUCCACUCUCAAACCACUGGAAUUGUCCAGUGGCGCAACAGGCGAGGCUCCAGGAAACAGUGCUUGCAAGCACUUUUUAGAGUGAAUGCUGGAGUAUAAUUUCCUCUUUGCUGGGAAUUGGACAGAAAUCACCAGUUCCAAUCUAUAUUGCGGGCAGAUCACAGAUCAGAAGCCAAACUUCAAAUGCUUCGGUGAUGCCUAAGGUAACACAGUGGCCAUGUGUCAUGGAUCAAGCUCUUCAGGGCAGAGAGUUGGACUUGACAUGAAAAUCCUGAGCAGCCAACAGUGGAUUCAGGGAACCCAACAGCACCUGUUUUAGGAUGAAACUUGUGUUUCUACACCCCUAGAUACAAAAACUUGAAACCUUAAUUCACAGUUGAGUAGAAAUGCAAAUACCACAGACCAAAGCAAUACACAGUUAUGUCAACUCUGAUGUUUCA